AUGUAUCCUGGAAAACAAAACAGCUGGUCUGCUAGAAGACAUGAUCAGACCACGCAGUGAGAGACAGACACACAAGGCAGCCAUCUGGGUUCCUAACAGUUCUCUGGUUCCCAGUUCCAUCCCAUCUGAUGCCUAAUGCCAUUUCCCACUUUGGAAUAUCAUGAGAUGACUGUGUAUUCGUCUACUCUACCUCAGAAGACAGCCAAGACUCUCUGUAGACUGUCCAUGGCUUCUGCUGCUGGGAUGCACUACCUUCAAUCUUUCCUCCCACUGGUUCUAUGGCUGCUGAACUAGGAACUCUUUGAGAACAGUGACAUCUCCUAUACCUCUCGUACAUACCUCCACCACUGCAUGUAUCACCCUGACCUGUAUGACACACAGAUGUCUAAGCAACUGCCUUCCAGCAGUGAUUGAUUUUGCUGGUUCCCCACACAAAAAGUUUGGAAGAGACCCUUAUGUCUUCUGUAGAGUUUCUUGGUUGUAAGCAGCAAGCACUGGUGCUGGCUAACUUAAGCAAAUAAAGAAUAUAUCACUCAGACAUCAAAGAAACAGCUGGAAAUCUGGCUUGGCAAAGGCCGGAUUAGGGCACUCCUGGGGAUGUGGGUAGUAGGAAUAGUCUAUAGUUUUUCCUCAGUGCCAACACUGGGAAAGAAUAUGUUCCAAUUAUUUUCAUUUUCCUAUCCUUUUGUCUUUCUUCAGAAGAAGCAAAGUUGAGAGAUAGUCUUUCAUAGCUUUUCCCAUAAGGUAUGUUCUCCUUGGGCAACAUUUUCAACUCAACCUUUAGCCCUUAGCUUGCUUUUUCUUUUUUUUUUUCUUUAUUUUUUUUAUUUUUGAGACGAGGGUCUUGCUCUGUCACCCAG
RNAcentral lists this long non-coding RNA (860 nucleotides) under Homo sapiens (human). Its description in RNAcentral is "HSALNT0393391". The record is from RNAcentral. Lineage: Eukaryota; Metazoa; Chordata; Mammalia; Primates; Hominidae.